GGGACAACCCGCCGAAAGGCGGGCUAAACCCGCGUACAUGCCACCGGGGCAUCCCGGAGGCAGGAAAGGCUUCGGCCGGACAGGGAUGGGCAUGCGGCGCAUUAGGCAGUAGGCGGGGUAACGGCCCACCUAACCGACGAUGCGUAGGGGUUCUGAGAGGAAGGUCCCCCACACUGGUACUGAGACACGGACCAGACUCCUACGGGAGGCAGCAGUGAGGAAUAUUGGUCAAUGGUCGGGAGACUGAACCAGCCAAGCCGCGUGAGGGAGGAAGGUACAGAGUAUCGUAAACCUCUUUUGUCAGGGAACAAAGACUGGGACGCGUCCCCGGAUGAGUGUACCUGAAGAAAAAGCAUCGGCUAACUCCGUGCCAGCAGCCGCGGUAAUACGGAGGAUGCGAGCGUUAUCCGGAUUUAUUGGGUUUAAAGGGUGCGCAGGCGGUCUGUUAAGUCAGCGGUCAAAGCCCGGGGCUCAACCCCGGCCCGCCGUUGAAACUGGCAGUCUCGAGUUGGAGAGAAGUAUGCGGAAUGCGCGGUGUAGCGGUGAAAUGCAUAGAUAUCGCGCAGAACUCCGAUUGCGAAGGCAGCAUGCCGGCUCCACACUGACGCUGAGGCACGAAAGCGUGGGUAUCGAACAGGAUUAGAUACCCUGGUAGUCCACGCAGUAAACGAUGAAUGCUGGCUGUCCGGG
This 690-nucleotide ribosomal RNA is filed under the name uncultured bacterium. RNAcentral describes it as "bacterial SSU rRNA". It matches the Rfam family "Bacterial small subunit ribosomal RNA", at positions 140 to 828 of the family's 1533-position model. The record is from RNAcentral.